CUCGCGGAGGUACUGCUCCACCCUAAGUCCUAUAAUGAGUAAGGUUACUCGGACGUGGCCCACAGAGGGUGAAAGGCCCGUGGGGGUGGAGACUCAGAUUGGCCAGUAUCUCCCUGAGUGGACCUUGGAGUCGGGUUGUUUGUGAAUGCAGCCCAAAGUGGGUGGUAAACUCCAUCCAAGGCUAAAUACUAACACGAGUCCGAUAGCGAACAAGUACCGUGAGGGAAAGUUGAAAAGUACUUUGAAGAGAGAGUAAACAGUGCGUGAAACCGCUCAGAGGUAAACGGGUGGAGUUGAACUGCAAGCUCUGAGAAUUCAACUGGUGAGUAUGGCAUGAGCUGGGUAUAUUGGUUGACGGUUCGGGUCUGCUGAGCUGCAGGUCCUCGCCUUUUGGUGGGGAUGCGCGAUGCACUUGCCAAGUGUUGUGCGCCCGGACUGUAUCGGACCUGCUUGCCAGUGCACUUUCUCAGAGUAAUCACCACGACCGGCGUUGCUGUCUGGCUGUUGUAGUUAAACCGGCCUUGUAGAGUCCUUGUGGCUUUGCUUGGUCGGGAUGGCAGGUAGCCCGUUGUGCACUUUUGUGUGCUUCGGGUGUAAUCGCUGACUGCAUCAGUUCUGUGCGGUACGUCGGAGACGGCGGCUUGUUGUGUGUGCGUGCGUACUUGUUAUGCUGGCGGUGCUGAGUCUGGUUGCCGUGUUGCUUGCAAAUGCAAGCCCGGUGAUGGCUUGGUGUCGUUCGGUGUGCGGUUGCGUGCGUGGCACUAUACAGGGCCAAUAGUCUGUGGUGUAGUGGUAGACUAUCCACCUGACCCGUCUUGAAACACGGACCAAGGAGAGUAACAUGUACGCGAGUCAUUGGGCGUUACGAAACCCAAAGGCGCAGUGAAAGUAAAGGUUCGGCUUGUCCGGACUGAGGUGAGAUCCUGCCGUUUCUCACGCGCGGUACUACCAAGCAUCGAGCGGCAGGCGCAUCACCGGCCCGUCCCAUGGCGUAGAGGCGGCCUUGUGCUUGCUCAUCGUCGGGGCGGAGCAUGAG
RNAcentral lists this ribosomal RNA (1036 nucleotides) under Byrdtrema sponsae. Its description in RNAcentral is "partial large subunit ribosomal RNA". It matches the Rfam family "Eukaryotic large subunit ribosomal RNA", at positions 159 to 800 of the family's 3401-position model. The record is from RNAcentral. Lineage: Eukaryota; Metazoa; Platyhelminthes; Trematoda; Plagiorchiida; Psilostomidae.